Molecule: transfer RNA, 69 nt
Filed under: Bos taurus (domestic cattle)
Lineage: Eukaryota; Metazoa; Chordata; Mammalia; Artiodactyla; Bovidae
Also listed under: 4 other names
Rfam family: tRNA
About the family: Transfer RNA (tRNA) molecules are approximately 80 nucleotides in length.
Source: Rfam by way of RNAcentral
CCUGGUGGCUCAGACAGUAAAGAAUCUGCUUGCAAAGCAGGAGACCCAGGUUCAAUCCCUGGGUCAGGA